This 21-nucleotide non-coding RNA is filed under the name Caenorhabditis elegans. The record is from RNAcentral. Lineage: Eukaryota; Metazoa; Nematoda; Chromadorea; Rhabditida; Rhabditidae.
CGAUCUGCUUACAAUCAGAAA